AAGAGGAAGCGCGAAAGACCGUUUAAAUAAGACGAGACGAAAAAAAGCAUCGCGAAGCGAAUGCCGGAGCCGUAUAGAAAAAAUGAUGCAUGGCCUCGGUGCAACAACAACGAUGUUGCCGCCUCAUUGUUGUACGAACGAAGAAAGAUCUUUCUGUUUCCUUCUCUUCGAAUCGCAGUGAUACCGCAACGGACUCGAGAUGUGAAAUAUCAAUUUUAUCUGAAGUUAUGCACGAGCGGUACCGGAUGAAUGUCCUCCUUAGAAAGAUGUCUUCCUGUCAGAGAUUACAGGGAUGGGUUUUAGUAGGUUAUACUGCAGUUAAGGUUAGGACCAGAAUCCGACACACCCCUGGUCACCUUCCCUCAAGUAUGAAAGAAGAAUCACGUGAGAUAUUUUUGAUUACACUCGCCGGAUAAUUUCUUAAUUUUGAGCGAUAUUUCACGCUUAGUUCACAUCAGAGCUACCUCAAUGAGACGAUCAACGACGAGAAGCUUCUCCCUACAUGACAAAUGUACGUGUCUUCCCUACGAGCUUCUUCGCAUCCCUAAAAGAAGCCGAUUCAGAGGACGAACACAUUACGAGCUAUUCCGCUUACCUACCUUAAUUUCUCCUGGCAACCAAGUGCGUCGGUACACAAAGGAAAGUGAUAAACGGAAAAAGAUGAGAGCGAGAGGGAGAGAGAGAGAGAGAGAAAGAGAGAGAAAGGGAGAGAUAAAAUAGGAGUACAAUGACCGUGCAACGAUAAACGGCAUCAGGCUGUAGGAAUACCGCAGGGUAUCGAGACUAUUCAAGCAGUAUUGUUGCGAAGAGAGGUGAAAUCCCCAUCUUCCCUGGUGUGAUGGAGGUUUGGGAAGCAUCUGUUUGUGAGCCGACGAAGAGACGAAGUACGAAAAGGUGCGGGAAAAUGAGAUGAGGAAAGAGAGAGAGAGAGA
Nylanderia fulva is the source of this 932-nucleotide non-coding RNA. The record is from RefSeq and is a predicted model, not a curated record. NCBI's taxonomy places the organism in Eukaryota, Metazoa, Arthropoda, Insecta, Hymenoptera, Formicidae.